UACGUAGGGUGCAAGCGUUGUCCGGAAUUAUUGGGCGUAAAGGGCGCGUAGGCGGCCUGCUAAGUCGAACGUGAAAUCCCUGGGCUCAACCCCAGGAACUGCGUCCGAUACUGGUUGGCUUGAAUCCGGGAGAGGGAUGUGGAAUUCCAGGUGUAGCGGUGAAAUGCGUAGAUAUCUGGAGGAACACCGGUGGCGAAGGCGACAUCCUGGACCGGUAUUGACGCUGAGGCGCGAAAGCCAGGGGGAGCAAAACGGG
RNAcentral lists this ribosomal RNA (256 nucleotides) under uncultured bacterium. RNAcentral describes it as "partial 16S ribosomal RNA". It matches the Rfam family "Bacterial small subunit ribosomal RNA", at positions 524 to 777 of the family's 1533-position model. The record is from RNAcentral.